Triticum dicoccoides is the source of this 4890-nucleotide long non-coding RNA. RefSeq lists it as uncharacterized. The record is from RefSeq and is a predicted model, not a curated record. Lineage: Eukaryota; Viridiplantae; Streptophyta; Magnoliopsida; Poales; Poaceae. The transcript is spliced from 11 exons.
UUCGAUUCCCCAAUCCCCCCCGCUUCCUCCGCCGCCCCCAAAAUCCUCCUAAAUUGCCAGCCUUCGCACCAGCCGGCGGAACCCUAGCUCUGGGGCUAAUGCCAUAUCAGGACGGCGGAAUCGGCGGCUCCUUCCCUGGCGCCGCACUUCGGAGGCUUGCGCCGCUCGGCGCGUCGCCCGUCCGCGUCUUUCCUCCGGCCACACCUUCUGGAUUCGCGCCGCUCCGCCUCCGGCCCGAGGGCUUUGGAGGCUUGCUGUUGCUGCCGUCCUCUUUACCCCUGCGCGUGCACACGAGUCUGAUAUGCUUGGUCAAGUUUAGUGCAGCCGCCCCCUAUUGAUUCCAUUUUCUAUGAUAUGCUUGGUCGGCCGGCAGUCACCUCUACCUUCUGUCGCAGCGUAUCCAGGCAAUCAACAUUCUCUCCGCUUACUUGUCAGAUGGGCGUUGCUUGGAUGAUUUAAUCUGAUAAAGAUGACACACUAGGACGUAGACGUACACAGUAAAUUUCCGAAUUUCAAAUCAUAGAUGAUGGGUGUUGAAAUGCUAGAAUAUUUAUGCCCCUUUGCAACACACGGGCAUAUGUGCUAACUUAUUCCAAAAGAGAAAAGCAUUGAUACUAUGUUGAUAGCGAGGGUGCAAGGCUCAAGGGAAGUAGGCUCUCUAGCUCUCUAUAUGCUUAUGGUAUCUUGGAUGAGGGUUACAAAUUCAAUUCAACAUGUCAGUUGAGGAAGCUGCUGAGUUAGCAUGACGGGCUAUUUAUCAUGCAAUAUUCCUUGACGGAGCUAGUGGUGGCCGUGUUAGUGGCGGAACUUACUUGUGUGGAAGUGUGCUGCUGCUGCAAGUUCCUGACUGUGCACAGUACUUCAUGGAGAAUCUGGACCUAUUAGCUGAAGCAGAUUACAUACCAACAAAGGAGCACUAGAGGCAAGGGAAGGCAUGACAGAACAAGUGGUUGUUUCAUGGCCAGGGCAGAGACAUGCAACGGUGAGGGUUGCAAUCGUCAGGGGACAUCACCUUAUAAAAUGCCCACUCACAAUGGCUAGAUCCUGCUCUCUACCUCUCCAUUGUCAUUGACGCAUUUACAAUUGCAGAUUUAAGCCUCUUUGAUCCUCUGCUGUAAUCUGGCAAUAAUAUCAGCACAUAAAUUGAUUCGCUUCUUCCAGCGGGCAUAUCAUUCAACUCUCGGUGCAGGUUGUUCACCAGUGAUCUGGUUUGCUAAAAGGCAUAUUAUUUGAUCCAGACUUGGAAUUGCUUAUGUGUUGGCAAAACAUGAUAAGCAGGCAUUGAACCUCACCCAACCAUCAACGAAUUUAUUCCAUCAAUCAAAGAGAUGAUGGCAUCUAUGCCUAUUGUUGAAGACAUUAGUAUCAUCAAAACAAUAGUAUUAGAUAGCUUACGAACUGGAAUUUUCUUCCAGCUUACUAUAUGUAAUGCUCUCUUUUAGGUUAAGUAUCUGCAUAUAUGAAUCUAGUUCCUAAAGCCUUUGAUUCUGCCUCGAGGGCAAGAGCUGCAGUCUUAUCCUCGACCUUGAAUGAUCGAUUGGGGUAGUUGUUUAUUGUGAUCACACCGUUCAGUCCUGGCAUCAUUUCAUGUAUGCAUAGUGGGGUAAGACAUGGAAUUUAGCCAACACCAGUCGCGCGAGCAACACAUGGUAGUCGCUCCAGAAUGGGACGAUGUCGAAGACUAACUCCUCGACUUGCUACGUGAAGCGUAACUUUUUCGGUGCACUAUGCUUCUUUUUCGGGGACUAUACAUUUAAAGGUUGUCCUGCUUAGCUGGAUGUGAGAUUUGUCGAACUACAUCUUUUGUAAAGUAUCCUCGUAUAUGAGGUUGAGGCUGCUGCCGUCGUCCAUCAAGACCUUUGAUAAACGAUAUCCAUCAAUAAUAGGGUCUAGAACGAGAGCGCAACUCCUUGGUUGUGAGCUCCUAUCAGUUGAUCUUGAUGAUCAAAGGUGAUUGGAACGUCCAACCACCUGCUUUCCGAUAUUGGUGAGUAGGUUUCGUAGAUCAUAAAGACGUCCUUGACCUCAGAUGGGUACCCCUUUGGUGGUAGUAGAUUUUCUUUCCUCAGCUUUCGUGAAUGUUGGGGUUGUCAAGAUACUCCACUCCUCCAUUUGCCACUUGUCUGAUGACCCAGCAAUUCCUGAGCUUGUGGGUUGCCGAUUUAUUCGAAGAGGCGGAGUGGAUGGCACAUGAUUCGUUGAGCAUGGUGUCUAGCUGCGAUUUAACCUUUCUGCUGCUGGACCGACCUCUCUUUCGAGAAGGCUGCUCGUCGUCCUAGUUGGUGCUGUUGCGCUUGGAUCAUCGAUUGCGACGUAGGCCCUAUUUUCUUCUCCGAUCUCGGAUAAUUCCGUGUUGCCGUUCUCGCGCCAUUCAUUGACUGUCCAGGCGUCCACCAUGUUGUAUUUAGUGACUAUGUUGGAGAGUGCGGUGAAUAUCUUCAUCUGACGCCGAAGGAAUUCUCUCAUGAUCCCUUUGUCGAGGUUGUUGUCACAGAAGGCUACUAAUGCCUCGUGAUCCAUGCAGUCUGGGAUUUGGUUCUUCGUGAACAAAAAUUGUGUCCAAAAUUCUCAGGUCGUCUCAUUCGUCUUUUGGACGACAAGGGCUAGAUCCUAGAUGUCAGUUUUUCCCGAUUUAUCUGUGUGGUAUUCGACAUGGGAGGUGGGUGGGAUUGAAGAUUUCAUCCCUAUCUGGCAUCGGCGCCUCCGAUGAGUUUCUAUGCGGUUAACCUAAUGUUGUCCCUGGUAAUUUUAAUGGAACCUGGCUUGUCAGGCCGUCGUAUUGUAUUGUCGGAUCCGAUCUCCAGGCUUGGUCUGACAAGUUGUAGUCUCCGUCCCAAGCUAAGUAGAUCCUCCGUGCUUGGGUGGAGAUAGCCUGCCGCUCUUCGCCAAAUCUAAUGUCGUGGUGGAGGAGGCCACGGCAGGGUCUGAACCAUCGAGCUCUAUGUCUCGACUGAUGGUUGGAAUUUUGAUCUUCUCCGGUGGCUCGGUUAAGCCGAGAAGUGACUCAGAGGCUACGUCGGCACCGAUUUGAUCGUCAGCGCUUGAAGCCAUCGAGUUGCUUCGAUCUUCCAGAGGGACCUGUAUGGGCCACCAAUGUCGGAGCUAAAUCUAGCGGAUCUCGGGUUGGGGGUCCCGAUUUGGUAGUCUUGGCUAGAUGGUAACAAGGACACAAGGGACACGAGGUUUACCUAGGUUCAGUCCCUCUCGAAGAGGUAAAACCCUACGUCCUGCUUUGUAUUGAUUGUGGAUAGGGUACAGAGUAUAUGUGAUCUACCGCGAGAUCGUAUGUGAAUGAAUCUCCCCUCUACAACCCUGGCACCUCCGCUUAUUUACAUACCGGGGGUACCUAGGGCAAACGUGUCAAGGACUAUCUUACGCCUUGGAGAAUACGCCAAGUCUUCGUGUCAUUCCUUUGGGCAACCGACAUGCUGAGCACCCCCUAAUCUAGGACUCCGUCAAUAGGUGGCUCAAUAGUACCUCUUGUGGGUCCUGUGAUAGAAGCAUCGGCUUCCACUAGUGAUGUGCAGAUUGGCACGUUGACAGCGGCUUAGAUUGAUAGUGUGCCGAGGUGGACAAUAUAGCAAGAGGAGCUGCUAAAGGUGUAUUCACGAAAGUGUGUGCUGUCUCAGAACGGUACUGUGCUGAGGUGGACAACAGAGCAAGAGGAGGAUCUAAAGGUGUAUUCACGAAAGCGAGGUGAGGGUAUUGCACAUCAAGUGGAGCAACUAGAUCAGCCACCGCCGGAACAAGGUAGUACUGAUGUGAUUUCUAUCUCUGCGGGGAUCAGGCUGAAGGGCCAGUGGCCACAGUAUGAAUUAUCAUCACUGCUCUUGGUUCUUGUCAGUUGUCACAUGCUUGAAAGCACUAAUGAUUUCCCAACUAAAAGUAGUAAUAUUUUCUCCUUGAUGCUUAUAUGCGUGCCGUAAAUGAUCCUAAGGAUGAAAUAAUGAUAGUUCUUGUGUGAUUUCUGAUUUUUAAUGUUGUCAUGGUGAUGGUUCAACUAAAGAAAAGGAGAAGCUGGAAGGUAACAUUUGUAGGGUUUUGGAUUUGUUUAGUAUGUAGCGUUCAAUGCCAGGGGUCAGCUUUGAGCCCUUAUUGACCUGCAAUGUUGUAUGGUGCUGAGUGUUGGCCGACUAAAAGGCAACAUGUUUAACAGUUAGGUGUGGCGGAGAUGCGCAUAUUGAGAUGGAUGUGUGGCCACACAAGGAAGGACAGAGUACGAGAUGAUGAUAUACGAGAUAGAGUUGGGGUAACACCGAUUGAAGAGAAGCCUGUCCAACAUUGCCUGGUCUUACUUUUCAUGUGUUAUUAACCACUCAUUUUCUUCAGCAUGAACAUCAUCUUGGUUGGCCUAUUAACCAAGAAUGUGUUUGAUCCACACCAUAAGCGUAUUUCCAUCCAAAGAGGAAUUUAUUUGAACCGAGAAAGAGGGCACAGUUGAUUUUGCAGCAUUGAUCCAAUUCACAUCGAUGAUCCUCUUUUCCCUGCUAACAUUGUGGGCCGGAAUUGUUUCCGGGUCCACCACUGAACCAAUGUUGGCUCAAAUUAUCUUUUCUGGACUGGUUGAAUCCUUCUGUUCUUGUCUAGAGCUUUUGGAGUUGUGGCAAUGCUGUGAUUAUGCUCUUUUAUCUGAUAUAAAUAUUCGUCCGGCAAAUCACGGAUCAACAAGAUAAUCAUGAGGGGCAACCGAUGUCAACGCCGAAAUAGCGCGCUUGUCGGAAAAGAAGAGAAUUGCACAUAGUAGAAAUUUGAUCUUUGGCCUACUUGCUAUAUAGUAGCAACAAUUAAUGCCACCAUGAUUAAAAAAGUACAAUUUCUUCAAGAGGACCUAUUCCUUGUUAACGUACAACAGGUGACCAAACUUAUCAAACAGAAUACAUUACUAACGAA